GCGGGGUGUAGUUUAGUGGUAAAACCUCAGCCUUCAAGCUGAUGUCGUGGGUUCGAUCCCAUCACCCGCUCCA
RNAcentral lists this transfer RNA (73 nucleotides) under Lentibacillus sp. CBA3610. RNAcentral describes it as "tRNA-OTHER". The stretch from base 4 to 67 matches the Rfam family "tRNA". Rfam says of the family: Transfer RNA (tRNA) molecules are approximately 80 nucleotides in length. Their secondary structure includes four short double-helical elements and three loops (D, anti-codon, and T loops). Lineage: Bacteria; Bacillati; Bacillota; Bacilli; Caryophanales; Bacillaceae. The record is from RNAcentral.